This 361-nucleotide unclassified non-coding RNA is filed under the name uncultured bacterium. RNAcentral describes it as "contains 16S-23S intergenic spacer region". The record is from RNAcentral.
UCCCCCGUGAGGGGGCAGUCUCGCCUGACUAAUAAAACAGGCAACGAGGGUUGCGUUCGUUACCCCACUGAAGGGAACAACUCAAGCCACGAACUGACGACGACCAUGCAUCACCUGCCAAGCCGCCUUUCGGGGUCCUAUGUUUCCAUAAGUUUUCGUCUUGGUUUCAAACCCUGGUGAGGUUCUUCGUUUGUCAUCGAAUUGAGCCGCAUGAUCCACCGCUUGUGCAAGUCCCCGUCUAUUCCUUUGAGUUUUAAUCUUGCGAUCGUACUACCCAGGCGCACAACUUAACGCGUUAGCUUCGCCUCACAGAGGGUCGAUACUCCGUAAAGCCAGUUGUGAUCGUUUAGGGCGUGGACUA